This is a non-coding RNA of Phasianus colchicus (ring-necked pheasant), 637 nucleotides long. The record is from RefSeq and is a predicted model, not a curated record. NCBI's taxonomy places the organism in Eukaryota, Metazoa, Chordata, Aves, Galliformes, Phasianidae.
UUCAGCAGUUUCCAUACUCCUGUGUAUAAAAAUCUGUUUCUAGGGAACUAAUCUUUAGCUCUGUCUGUGAAAUGCCAUAGAAAAGCCAUGAUGUGCUCAGAGUGAGGGGAAAAUCAAUGUUGCUGACAUACCAAUGUUCAUAGCUUCUGUGAAGCAGUGCUGUACAGAGCCAAGGCCAUUCUCAAUGAAGAACCCAAGAAACUGGGAGGGAGCAGAAUUAGGAGAGGGGGAGCGAGCAAAUGACUACAUGGUGCUGAGCCACCUGCCAGAUAAACCACAACAGUCCUCCUUAGAUUUGCAGACCAUCCUGCAUGCACUGAUCAGCAUUCCAGAAGCCUGGCCUUGUCUUACCAACAUUCCUGAAAAUGCCACUGUUGCUGAUUUAAUGCUAGGGCUGGGAAUUCUUCAUAACUCAUCUGACUUCACUCCUUUCCCCAGAGCCGGUGCAGAGCAUUGCUGUGCUGAUGGAGCAUCUGCACGAGGCUGUAGUUUCCCCAGUGUCCCAGGAUGGGUCCAAGGCACUCAGAGGUGGUGAGGAAAGACAAAUUGUGCAGCGUUGCCAAAUGAGGGGAAAUAAGGAAGAAACCACUUGUGCUUGAGGAUGAUGCUAUGGAACAGGAAGAUCCCCUCUUCCCCU